CUGCUUUAGUCUCCAGAGUAGCUGGGAUUACAGGAUGAAGCUGAAAUAUUUUAGUCUGGCAUUCCAGAUCCUUCACAUCUUGGCCUCAGCCUACCUAGACAUCUUGACUUCCCUCUGUUCACCGUCACUGAUACUUGGCCAAAUCAACUCUUCUAUCCACAGGAAUGGCAUGCUCCAUGUAAGCUGAAUUCUCCCUUGGAAUCCCUUUUGGGGCUGCAAAAUAUCCAGAUAUCGGCUGGGAUUAAAGUCAUCUGGAGACUGGACUAAAUAUCAAUACACAUUUUAAAGUGAAUUAAAUUAAAAGAGACAUCAACAUCAUGUACAGUGUCAACGUGGGACUCCUCUAUCCUCAGUUUGGACUGUGGCACUAAUACAACAGGUCCUAAGACAAGAAGUCAUUUACCCUCUUGUGCUGAUGAAGAAGUCACAAGAGCAAACCUCACAGGACUCUGCCUCUGGAAAAGGGGGGAAAUUCUUAUAAUAUAUUUUGAACAUCUCCUGUGCACUUGGAAUUAUUCUGUAUGCUGAGAACACAGAGAUAAAGAACCCAGUUCCUGUUCCAUUGACUGGAGGAGGUGAGAACUAAAUGAGUGCUACAUAACAUAAAGAGCCCUCUACAGAGGGAAGCCCAGGAAAGGAGAUCUGGGAAACCGCUCUGAAGGGGAUGGCAUUGGCCUUGAGUCACCAACAACUAGGAGAAUCUGGUUAGGCAGUUAACAAUGUGAUUCCACACAGCAGGCAACAAACCUCAAAGUCAUGGUAUGAGGCAGCUUAAGGGGAUAUUCAGCUAAAGACAUAGUCAACUCAGUAACUUUCUCCUAAGGUUUUGAGAUAUCAGAUUUUUCUGAUCUGGAACACUCUGUAUCAAAAGUUGAAGUUCAGGUAUCAACGUUGACCUUGUGGAUCUGAAGCUAUCACCUAUGGAUUUUCUUUAUCUUUGGCUUGAACCAAUGGUCUUUCACAAUAGCCGUUGUCCAGUUUGUUUGA
Non-coding RNA from Marmota flaviventris (yellow-bellied marmot), 987 nucleotides. The record is from RefSeq and is a predicted model, not a curated record. Lineage: Eukaryota; Metazoa; Chordata; Mammalia; Rodentia; Sciuridae.